This 430-nucleotide unclassified non-coding RNA is filed under the name uncultured Mortierellomycotina. RNAcentral describes it as "sequence contains ITS2". The record is from RNAcentral. Lineage: Eukaryota; Fungi; Mortierellomycota.
AACGCACAUUGCGCCUUCUGGUAUUCCGGAAGGCAUGCUUGUUUGAGUAUCAGUAACAACCUCAGCUUCUCUCCUCUCUCUCCUCUCUCUCUCUUUGGGUGUGUGUGUAGUAGUAGGAAAAAAGCCGGAUUUGAGCAUGUCCCUAAAUCCCAAUUGGAUUCGGGGAUGCUUGAAAUACAGGUUCGACCGGACGAAAAGGGGGAGGGGGUAAAAAAAUUUUCUUUUUUUCCCCCCUUCCCCAAUCCCCUGGGCUACAAGCAUUUUCAUACUUAAUCCCGUCAAACGGAUUAUUUCCUUUGCUGCAGCCAACAAUCACAAAAGGGGGGUGAUCCCGUCCGUGUUCGACUGAUGCAGGAAGUUGGAGCAGAUCCAUGAUCUUUUGCUCUGCCAACUCGAUCUCAAAUCAAGUAAGACUACCCGCUGAACUUAA